Non-coding RNA from Pteronotus mesoamericanus, 166 nucleotides. RefSeq annotates it as small Cajal body-specific RNA 1. The transcript has a single exon. The record is from RefSeq and is a predicted model, not a curated record. NCBI's taxonomy places the organism in Eukaryota, Metazoa, Chordata, Mammalia, Chiroptera, Mormoopidae.
CAGCACUUGAUACUAAGCGAGCAAUCUACAUCCUAGCCUUGUGUCAAAGGCUCGUGAUGUGCUGUGACCAUAGGGUUUAAGGGGUGGAAUACUAAAACCAAAGCCACGAGUCCUUUAAGCCCGGGAGUAAAGACACACUCUUGAGUUAUAACGCAGUGGCAUAACU